This 127-nucleotide small RNA is filed under the name Marmota monax (woodchuck). The record is from RNAcentral. Lineage: Eukaryota; Metazoa; Chordata; Mammalia; Rodentia; Sciuridae.
GCCAGGUGUGGUGGCACAUGCCUGUAAUCCCAGCGGCCCAGGAGGCUGAGGCAGGAGGAUUGCAAGUUCAAAGCCAGCCUUAGCAAUUUAGUGAGGCAUGAAGUAACUCAGCAAGACCGUGUCUCUC